This 403-nucleotide unclassified non-coding RNA is filed under the name plant metagenome. Its description in RNAcentral is "partial contains 5.8S ribosomal RNA, internal transcribed spacer 2, and large subunit ribosomal RNA". It matches the Rfam family "Bacterial small subunit ribosomal RNA", at positions 358 to 777 of the family's 1533-position model. The record is from RNAcentral.
GGAAUAUUGCGCAAUGGAGGAAACUCUGACGCAGUGACGCCGCGUAUAGGAAGAAGGUUUUCGGAUUGUAAACUAUUGUCGUUAGGGAAGAGAAAAGACAGUACCUAAGGAGGAAGCUCCGGCUAACUACGUGCCAGCAGCCGCGGUAAUACGUAGGGAGCAAGCGUUAUCCGGAUUUAUUGGGUGUAAAGGGUGCGUAGACGGGUAAUCAAGUUAGUUGUGAAAUCCCUUGGCUUAACUGAGGAACUGCAACUAAAACUGGUUAUCUUGAGUACAGGAGAGGUAAGUGGAAUUCCUAGUGUAGCGGUGAAAUGCGUAGAUAUUAGGAGGAACACCAGUGGCGAAGGCGACUUACUGGACGGAAACUGACGUUGAGGCACGAAAGUGUGGGGAGCAAACAGGA